AGAUUGAACGCUGGCGGCAGGCCUAACACAUGCAAGUCGAGCGGCAGCACGGGUACUUGUACCUGGUGGCGAGCGGCGGACGGGUGAGUAAUGCCUAGGAAUCUGCCUGAUAGUGGGGGAUAACGUUCGGAAACGGACGCUAGUACCGCAUACGUCCUACGGGAGAAAGUGGGGGAUCUUCGGACCUCACGCUAUCAGAUGAGCCUAGGUCGGAUUAGCUAGUUGUAGGGUAAAGCCUACCAAGGCUACGAUCCGUAACUGGUCUGAGAGGAUGAUCAGUCACACUGGAACUGAGACCACGGUCCAGACUCCUACGGGAGGCAGCAGUGGGGAAUAUGGACAAGUGGGACGAAAGCCUGAUCCAGCCAGUGCCGCGUGUGUAGAAGGAAGGUCUUCGGAUUAGUAAAGCUAACGUUUUAAGGUUGGGAAGGAAGG
This 435-nucleotide ribosomal RNA is filed under the name uncultured soil bacterium. RNAcentral's name for it is "bacterial SSU rRNA". It matches the Rfam family "Bacterial small subunit ribosomal RNA", at positions 26 to 455 of the family's 1533-position model. The record is from RNAcentral.